CAACCGGGAAAGAAGGGGAGGGAAGGAGGGGGAGGCUCUGCGUUGGCCACAUUUGCAUGAGGCCAGCCGAAGCCAGAUGGUCAGGGUGGUGGAGUGAGGCUGGCCCACCGCAGCUGGCGAGCAAACGAGCAAACGUGAAAAGUGGGGAUUCAGCUGGAUCUACUCUGUGACUCCGCAUCCAGACUGCAAGAUGGGGAGACUGCUGGAAGAAUCACAUGAGAUCAUGAUAUGGGCUGAACUGUAUCCCCCAAAAUUCAUGUAUUGAAAUCUUAAUCUCCAGGUCCUCAGAAUGUGACUAUAUUUGGAAAUAGAGUCUUUUUUAUUUUUUUAUUUUCAUUUUUAUUUUUGAAACAGAGUCUCGCUCUGUCACCCAGGCUGGAGUGCAGUGGCGUGAUCUCGGCUCACCGCAACCUCCACCUACCAGGUUCAAGUGAUUAUCCUGCCUCAGCCUCCCAGGUAGCUGGGACUACAGGCACGCACCACCAUGCCCGGCUAAUUUUUGUAUUUUUAGUAGAGACGAGGUUUCACCAUGUUGGCCAGGAUGGUCUCGAACUCCUGACCUCAGGUGAUCUGCCCACCUUGGCCUCCCAAAGUGAUUGGAUUACAGGCGUGAGCCACCAUGCCCAGCCUGGAGAUAGGGUCUUUAAGGAGGUAAUUAAGGUAAAAUGAGGUCAUGGCAGUGGACCCUAAUCCAAUGGCUGGUGUCCUCAUAUGAAGAGGUGACUAGGACACAGAGGUGCACAGAGAGAUGACAAUCUGAAGACACAGAGAUGAAAAAGAAGACAGCCAUCCUCAGAAGACAUGAACUCUGUUGACAUCUUGAUCUCCGACGUCUAGCCGCCAGAAUUGAACCCAGAGAUGAGACCUUUUGGGGGCCAAGGAAACAUUUCCGGGGGCCCUGAAGUUAUCAUGAGUUACUGGGGGUCACGGGCAAGGAUCUGGAAGAGAGACCACACACACACACAUUGCAGUUAUUAUUAUUAUUAUUAUUUUGAGACAGAGUCUCACUCUGUUGCCCAGGUUGGAGUACAGUAGCCCAAUCUCGGCUCACUGCAACCUCCUGGGUUCAAGUGAUUCUCGUGCCUCAGCCUCCAGAGUAGCUGGGACUACAGGUGUGCACCACCACACCCAGCUAAUUUUUUUGUAUUUUUAGUAGAGACAGGGUUGCACCAUGUUGGCCAAGCUGGUCUCGAACUCCUGAGCUCAGGCGAUCCAUCGCCUUGGCCUCCCAAAGUGCUGAGAUUACAGGCGUGAGCCACCGUGCCCGGUUCACACUGCAGUUAUUGAUCAUGGUGAGGGGACAGCGUCCAGUGGGAACUUGGCAGAAGAUCUGAUGAUCUCCCUUUCCCGGCCGCUUUGCCCUGUGGCCUGGAUGCCUGUCCCAGUCUGCCCUCUCUUUCCUGGGCCCUGCCCACGAGUGUCAACCUAAAAUAAUCAAAAGCCUCGGGAUCCAGUUAAAUUAGUUUAUUUAAAUGCAAAGUGUGAGGGUGGCCGUCCAGAGAAAUAUGGACACCAAAGAAUGGUGACCAGUGUUCCCCAGUGUGGGGAAAGGUAAGAAUCGUUUAUACAGGCAAGGGCCCUGCCCCUGGUACUUCCUGAGAAAUAGGGACAAGAGAGGUCACCCUCACCACACGGCCAGCCCUGGCUGGUCCCUGAAGACAUCAUCAGGCUCCACUGUGAGAAGCCUUGGAUUCCUCAUCCCAGAGCCCGCUUCAGAGUAACAGCUUUUCCCUAAAAGCAAAUUAAGGUCAGGGACCAUCAGGGACAGGAUGGGACGGGAGGAGCCUCACUGUACCCAGCUCUGGCCUACAAGCUGUGAACAAUCUUAGGAAUAUGCUAUGUGAGUAGAGCCCUGGGUUCAAAUCCCAGCUCCCAGCUCUCCCUCUUCCUAGCUGUGUGUCCUUGGGCAAGUCACUUCCCCUCUCUGGGCUUCAGUUUCUUCUUCCACACUAUGAUAGGGGUCAGGGUGGGAAUAGACUAUAUGGUGUCUAGUCUAUUUCCUCCUGGGCCUUCCCAGGAGAUGGGACUCUAAUAACCCAUCCUGGGUUCCCCUGAAAUACCUGGAUUAGAAGCCCUGUGAGAGCAGUGAGGCAUGGGGUCUCUUUAUUCCUAAUAACCCUGCAGAUGCCAGUCAUAGCCAGCUGACUGCUUUGUCCCCAUCCUGAGCCAGCCCCCAGCAGAAUGGGCGGGAAGUUGGCCUACCACUGGGAAAGCAACCCAGACACUCACGUGAGGGGCUUUUCCAGGCGGCUCCCAGGGGACCCCACAAUCUCUCCAAGGGUGCAGAAGGCCUGGCCCAGGAAAUCCUGCAUAUCCAGGGAACAGAAGAGACCAGUGUCACCCACUCUGCUCACAGCUAUCCCACCUCCCCCAUCGCCCAAUUCCUGGAAGCGUGAGGGCCCUUAAAUGACAGGACGCAGCGUCGGACACACAUUCCAUCACAGCAAAGCCCCAGGCUCACCCAGAGGAUGGCAUUUCAGAAACUAUGGAAUUGCUGAGCAGUUACUGGCAGAACUCACGUGUUUGGAUAAAUCAGGACUCUUAGAGUCAACGUCGUAUCUGCAGGGAACACAGAGAAACGAUGAAGGCAGCUGCGGACGUUCUGCCCAAUCCUGCCUGGGUUCUCAAGUUGAGUCAGGGCCCCUGUCCCCCAAAAAACAGGUCCCAACACAGUGAAUAUUUCUAGGAGUAAUGGUUGGAAGACAUGACAGGGAGCCUUCUGGGUGCUGGACAUGUUCUGUCCUUGAGCUGGGUGACAUCAGAG
This 2764-nucleotide long non-coding RNA is filed under the name Homo sapiens (human). RNAcentral describes it as "HSALNT0105602". Lineage: Eukaryota; Metazoa; Chordata; Mammalia; Primates; Hominidae. The record is from RNAcentral.